This 566-nucleotide ribosomal RNA is filed under the name Escherichia coli. Its description in RNAcentral is "partial 23S ribosomal RNA". It matches the Rfam family "Bacterial large subunit ribosomal RNA", at positions 419 to 985 of the family's 2925-position model. Lineage: Bacteria; Pseudomonadati; Pseudomonadota; Gammaproteobacteria; Enterobacterales; Enterobacteriaceae. The record is from RNAcentral.
GGGACACGUGGUAUCCUGUCUGAAUAUGGGGGGACCAUCCUCCAAGGCUAAAUACUCCUGACUGACCGAUAGUGAACCAGUACCGUGAGGGAAAGGCGAAAAGAACCCCGGCGAGGGGAGUGAAAAAGAACCUGAAACCGUGUACGUACAAGCAGUGGGAGCACGCUUAGGCGUGUGACUGCGUACCUUUUGUAUAAUGGGUCAGCGACUUAUAUUCUGUAGCAAGGUUAACCGAAUAGGGGAGCCGAAGGGAAACCGAGUCUUAACUGGGCGUUAAGUUGCAGGGUAUAGACCCGAAACCCGGUGAUCUAGCCAUGGGCAGGUUGAAGGUUGGGUAACACUAACUGGAGGACCGAACCGACUAAUGUUGAAAAAUUAGCGGAUGACUUGUGGCUGGGGGUGAAAGGCCAAUCAAACCGGGAGAUAGCUGGUUCUCCCCGAAAGCUAUUUAGGUAGCGCCUCGUGAAUUCAUCUCCGGGGGUAGAGCACUGUUUCGGCAAGGGGGUCAUCCCGACUUACCAACCCGAUGCAAACUGCGAAUACCGGAGAAUGUUAUCACGGGAGAC